AUCGCUUCUUGGCCUUUUGGAUAAGAUCAAGUGUAGUUAGUAUCUGUUCUUAUCCAUUUAAUGUCUGAUACAUCCUCUAUCUGAGGACAAUAUAUUAAACGGAUUUUUAGAAGUCUGAGUUGGAACAGGAGCUUUCUCCAUCCACUCCAUGAAUUGAUCUGGUACUGCAGUAUCUCCAGAAAUGGUACAACAAAU
RNAcentral lists this small nuclear RNA (195 nucleotides) under Peromyscus maniculatus bairdii (prairie deer mouse). RNAcentral's name for it is "U2 spliceosomal RNA (ENSPEMG00000002272.2)". It matches the Rfam family "U2 spliceosomal RNA". From Rfam's summary of the family: U2 is a small nuclear RNA (snRNA) component of the spliceosome (involved in pre-mRNA splicing). Complementary binding between U2 snRNA (in an area lying towards the 5' end but 3' to hairpin I) and the branchpoint sequence (BPS) of the intron results the bulging out of an unpaired adenosine, on the BPS, which initiates a nucleophilic attack at the intronic 5' splice site, thus starting the first of two transesterification reactions that mediate splicing. Lineage: Eukaryota; Metazoa; Chordata; Mammalia; Rodentia; Cricetidae. The record is from Rfam by way of RNAcentral.